This 494-nucleotide ribosomal RNA is filed under the name uncultured bacterium. RNAcentral describes it as "partial 16S ribosomal RNA". It matches the Rfam family "Bacterial small subunit ribosomal RNA", at positions 28 to 507 of the family's 1533-position model. The record is from RNAcentral.
GACGAACGCUGGCGGCGCGCUUAACACAUGCAAGUCGAACGGAAAGGCCUGCUUUCCCUUGUGGAUUGCGGGUACUCGAGUGGCGAACGGGUGAGUAACACGUGAGUGAUCUGCCCCCAACUUGGGUAUAAGCCUGGGAAACUGGGUCUAAUUCCCGAUAGGACUGCAGGGUGGUGCCUGUGGUGGAAAACGAUUUUCUAGUGGUUGGGGAUGAGCUCGCGGCCUAUCAGCUUGUUGGUGGGGUAAUGGCCUACCAAGGCGGCGACGGGUAGCCGGCCUGAGAGGGUGGACGGCCACAUUGGGACUGAGAUAAGGCCCAGACGCCUACGGGAGGCAGCAGUGGGGAAUAUUGCAAAAUGGGCGGAAGCCUGAUGCAGCGACGCCGCGUGGGGGAUGACGGCCUUCGGGUUGUAAACUCCUUUCGACCGCGAGGAAGCCACCUGGUUGGAAGGGUGGUGACGGUAGUGGUAGAAGAAGCACCGGCUAACUACGUG